This is a long non-coding RNA of Syngnathus acus (greater pipefish), 3195 nucleotides long. RefSeq lists it as uncharacterized. The record is from RefSeq and is a predicted model, not a curated record. The transcript is spliced from 2 exons. NCBI's taxonomy places the organism in Eukaryota, Metazoa, Chordata, Actinopteri, Syngnathiformes, Syngnathidae.
UUUGCUUAAUUCACUUUAGCUCAACGUAAUGUUUGUUUGACUUUGGAAAUGUAAUCAGCGCGCCAAGGUAUGCUGUGCUGGGGACCACUGGUGGCUGCUCCAAGCUUCUCAGGUUCACCACAAUAUUUAGAAAUAUCUACAACAAGGUCUCAUUUCCCUUGGUAGGCUGAGACACAACCCAAGUCUGUAAACUGAUAUCCUCGCCUAUCUCUGUAGAUUGACCUCAAAAUACAUGUGACAGUAUUACAGCAAGGCACUAUCUGAUUUUCACAUUGCAUUAAUGCUUGUAUCAUAAGUCCUUGUGCAGUUGAAUUCCCAACGUUGGACUCUGGCUUGUACGAGAACUAAAUGUGACACACAUUACAAAUAUAAUACAUUCCAAGACUCACUGAAACGCAAGCGCUUUGUUCGAUUGUCGUGCAAACACACGUGUACAUUGAUGAAUGCCGCACUAAGACAUGGUGAGUGAGAUACUUGAUUUUCCAAUUAUAGUCUCGGUUUUUAACCUGCGGGUCUGUGAAAUGUGAACAAUUGUGGUUUAGUCCAGCACAUGGUGAAUUAAUGUGACGCCUGGGAGACUGUGUCUGUGGAUGCGUUUUGGGAAAUGCCACUGUAGGAGCCUGAUGUUGCUGUAGAUUAUACUAAAUAUACACACACGCACACACAUAGUUUGGCAUAAAUGGGCUCAAUUAUUAUUUUUUACUUUUCCAUGUGUCAGUUAGUGUGUGCACUAAAUAUUAUCCUUUACAAUUGUGUGCGGUGUGUGGUAGUGUGUGUGUGUGUGUGUUUGUGAAAGACUUUAUGAGAUCAUUGAAAGCAAUUAGCUGUGGCACUGCAGGCCUCGUUAGAAACUUGUUGAUGGAUCGGAAACAUCCACUGCGUAGUCACACUUAGUUGUACUCUCCUCAAAAAUCCUUGCUCUGGUCAACUCAAGUUUGUUGUCCAUUCGUGCAAAAAUAUGUACAUGCACACACGACAAUGCAAUGAUUUUUAUUUUUUUCGGGGGCAAGAUUUUCUUGCAAUCCCUCUGAUGAUAGCCGCCUGUUAUUUAUCAGUGACACACACAUAUACUCAUAUCUCGACUCUCUUGUACAUACAUCACUUCCCAGUAAAACUACCCAUAAAGUGAUAAACUCUCCACAUAUGCCAAGUGCUCAGUGGCUGAACCGGCCCAGCUUAUGAGCAGCCUGGUGUGGAAAGAUGUUUGGCUUGAGUAGCGGCAUUUGAUGAAAACCCUAUCAUUUUCAUCCUUGCUCUUGCAUUUCUAUUUCAAUCACCUGAUGUAAUUUUUCAGCGGGGAAUAUGUUGGAUGGCAAUGUUCACUUGCGACCAUGGCUAUGUUUCGCUCUUCGAAACCAGCUAACACCCAAUCUAAUCAGUAUACAUUCUCUUAACAUGACAACAAACCUCCUGGUGAUUGUGUUAGGCAAUAUUCAUUUUUAUGAGUGUGUUCAUGGGUGUUUUGCAUUGGUCUGUGAAUAUGCGAGCAAGUGAGCCAGAUAUUGAGCAUGUUAUUUUUUCUCCAGCGCGCAAGUUUGUGUUAAUGUGGUAGCAGCCACAAUGUUGUACUCUCAAAUUAGUAUGUGGUUUUGGAAAAGAGUUUUUUUGAGCAGAUGAAAGGGAUUUGCUGGGAUGGGGAGGACUGGGUACUGUAUGUGUGGUGAUGUUUGCGCGCAUCUGUGCCUGAUCCAUUUCUAUGUUUUGUGAAUGUGUUCGUAUUACUGGAAUGUAAUUAUUUGUAUUAUAACAUUACUACCUCUGAACCAUAUGCAUUACAAGACUGUAUGUCUGUGUUGCUCUUGAUUUACCGUCACCAAAACAACAGAGUUGUACUACUUUAUGGACAAGAGUUACAUCGCUAGAGAGUACCAAUACUAGGUAUUGGUACCGCUAACAGCCUUAUGUCGAGGUAUCGGUACUCAUGACAGCGGCUGAUACCAGUAUUGGCUGCCUUCUUGUGGACAUUUUAUUUUCAGGAAAAAGAAAUUAGAAGUGACAAAAAAUGUAAUUUUAAGGAAAAAUACUAGAUUGGAAUAUAUGUACUACCUAAAAAUUUGCGAUUAUUAUUUUUGAGGUGAAUUUUUAUCAAUAACAAUUACUAGUGGUAUCCAUACUUGGCAUUGGUAUCAGUGACUGUGCAAGAAUUGAGUACUCAGUAUCAGCCUGAAAAAAGUGGUAUUGAACAUCCCUAGUUAUUGCGUACAAAAAGUAAUGCAUAUAUGACUAACUUAGCUAGUUGUUAAAAGCAGGGGGAGUCGGUAUAAGAGCUCAAAACGAUUCUGGAUGGGUGGUUAGUGAUAAAAGUUUCAAACCUUGCAAAGCACUCUGUAAACAAAACAAAGGAUGAGCUCAGGGUCAAUGUCCAAAUGUAGAUAUCCUCACUGAGGUGCUGCAGCUUAGUGCAGAAGCUGCCAAAAAGCAGCAGGACAAAUAUUGUCUUAAAGAUGAUAUAAGGCAGGUUAAGGGAAGGUCCUCAUAAAGGAGAGACAAGCAAUGUUGUUGGAGACGAGUGGUGGAGGUCUUAAAAAAUGACCUGGCUGCAGUUCAAUGAGUCUGUCAGAGAAGGAUGUGUCUGAAGGUGGACAAGGAAGGCCAGGAGGAGACAACACAGGCCUGCUACGAUUCAGCUCAACGUUCAACAAGUUGUGCAUGCUUCCACUGCAGUUCCUUUAGCUUUGAGUUUCAAGACAUGACAGGGAAUCAAAUCAUUCUCCAUUUCAUCUCAAAAACAUUAUCUGAAAGUUUAUCUCUGUCCUUUUGCUGAGCAUCACUCAUUGCUUUUUUUCAACAACAUGUAGUUUGUGUACUCCUGAGAAGGAAAAUUAAAAAAAAGAGGGAGGAGGUGAAAAAACGGUGGUGAGUGGAAAAACUGAGUGUUUAAAUGUGUGUUACCAAGGCGCAAACAUAUUUGUGUAGUUUACAGCCCUAUAACGAAGGAGGAGUGUUGCAGUUCCUGCUGUGGUUGCAUGAAUGAGGGAUGAGGAUUAUAAAAACGAAGAGAGAAUUGAGUUGUGGUCGCAGCUGUAGCCGAAUCAAAGGAACGGGCUUGUGCUUCUGUGUGUCAACAUGUGUUUCAGUUGUAUCUCAUGGCUGCUUCAUCUGGUCCUCAUUUAACUUAGUUUGGCUGCUCCUGUGUCGAACUACAUGUGUGCCUGAACAAGUGCCUGUGUCUGCUUGCUGAUAGCCAAAUGAAAA